GAUGGCAGCCAUAUUACCCAAUACUGAUUACCCACUGAAGCUAAGCAAGGUUGAGCCUGGUCAGCACCUGGAUGGGAGACCUCCUGGGAAAACUAUAGGUUGCUGCUGGAA
This 111-nucleotide ribosomal RNA is filed under the name Sinocyclocheilus grahami. The record is from RNAcentral. Lineage: Eukaryota; Metazoa; Chordata; Actinopteri; Cypriniformes; Cyprinidae.